This 225-nucleotide ribosomal RNA is filed under the name uncultured Acinetobacter sp. RNAcentral's name for it is "partial 16S ribosomal RNA". It matches the Rfam family "Bacterial small subunit ribosomal RNA", at positions 568 to 792 of the family's 1533-position model. Lineage: Bacteria; Pseudomonadati; Pseudomonadota; Gammaproteobacteria; Moraxellales; Moraxellaceae. The record is from RNAcentral.
CGCGUAGGUGGCUAAUUAAGUCAAAUGUGAAAUCCCCGAGCUUAACUUGGGAAUUGCAUUCGAUACUGGUUAGCUAGAGUAUGGGAGAGGAUGGUAGAAUUCCAGGUGUAGCGGUGAAAUGCGUAGAGAUCUGGAGGAAUACCGAUGGCGAAGGCGACUCUUUGGUCUGUAACUGACGCUGAGGCGCGAAAGCGUGGGGAGCAAACAGGAUUAGAUACCCGCGUA